AUUGAACGCUGGCGGCAGGCCUAACACAUGCAAGUCGAGCGGAUGAAGGGAGCUUGCUCCUGGAUUCAGCGGCGGACGGGUGAGUAAUGCCUAGGAAUCUGCCUGGUCGUGGGGGAUAACGUCCGGAAACGGGCGCUAAUACCGCAUACGUCCUGAGGGAGAAAGUGGGGGAUCUUCGGACCUCACGCUAUCAGAUGAGCCUAGGUCGGAUUAGCUAGUUGGUGGGGUAAAGGCCUACCAAGGCGACGAUCCGUAACUGGUCUGAGAGGAUGAUCAGUCACACUGGAACUGAGACACGGUCCAGACUCCUACGUGAGGCAGCAGUGGGGAAUAUUGGACAAUGGGCGAAAGCCUGAUCCAGCCAUGCCGCGUGUGUGAAGAAGGUCUUCGGAUUGUAAAGCACUUUAAGUUGGGAGGAAGGGCAGUAAGUUAAUACCUUGCUGUUUUGACGUUACCAACAGAAUAAGCACCGGCUAACUUCGUG
This 484-nucleotide ribosomal RNA is filed under the name uncultured bacterium. RNAcentral describes it as "partial 16S ribosomal RNA". It matches the Rfam family "Bacterial small subunit ribosomal RNA", at positions 30 to 507 of the family's 1533-position model. The record is from RNAcentral.